UUGCUCCUUCCGCUGUCUCGCGCGAUCUGGGUGCCGGUGCACGGAACUCUCGCGAGGAAGGAGGGAACCGAUGACCCUAGGUUGGCUGACAUCAGUCGCUAGACCCGCAGCCCGCAGGCCCCGUUAGUCCCUGAACUGGCUUUCAUGGCCCAAGGUGUCUGUCAGUACUGCUGGGAAAGCUGCCUGUCCUGGACAUUUGCCAUCUGCUGCACCCAGUCCCGAGACCCCAACUCGGUCAUCCGAAGAAGCCACAUCUGUGGACAGCCCAGGAUCACCAGACACCUGAGAAAGAAGAAAAGGGACUCAGAAGAAACAGAGACGAUAAAGGAAGCCGAAGAAAAAUGAAAACUAAAAUGCCAUUCUCAGUCAAUAAAAAGGAACUGGGGGCUAUAGAGAAAGAAACCUCGGGAUGAGAAAGAGCUCUUAGAAAUAAAACAUGAGGGGAAAGUGAGCAAUUCAAUAGGCUUUUAAGAUGAAGUCUUCCAGAAUGUAUAAUGACAGAACCAGAUAGCUGGAAAACAGAAUAGCAGUAACACAGGAAACAGGGCAAAUGAAGGAAGAGGAAAGCAGUACAGGACACUGGUGAAGAGUUAACCCAUGCUGACCACUGGGCUGGAACCAGAGAAAUGGUUCGUGACACAGACUGAACCUGCUAGCUCUGAAGAUGGAGGAGGGGGCCAAGAGCCAAGGAAUGUAGGCAGCCUCUACAAGCUGGAAGUGGCCUUAGUUUACAGUCAGCAAGAAAGUGGGGACCUUGGCCCUGCCACCGAAAGGAUGUGGAU
Molecule: long non-coding RNA, 782 nt
Filed under: Homo sapiens (human)
Lineage: Eukaryota; Metazoa; Chordata; Mammalia; Primates; Hominidae
Description: HSALNT0145451
Source: RNAcentral